RNAcentral lists this ribosomal RNA (2302 nucleotides) under marine metagenome. Its description in RNAcentral is "bacterial LSU rRNA". It matches the Rfam family "Bacterial large subunit ribosomal RNA", at positions 14 to 2397 of the family's 2925-position model. The record is from RNAcentral.
AGGGCGUUUGGUGAAUGCCUUGGCAGUAAGAGGCGAUGAAAGACGUGAUACUCUGCGAUAAGUCAUGGGGAGCUGAGAAUAAGCUUUGAUCCAUGAAUUUCUGAAUGGGGCAACCCACCUGAUACUUUGUUAUUAUUACCCUUCGGGGUAGCUAAUAAUGAGGUAAACCAGGUAUUUAUAGACUGAAUACAUAGGUUUAUAAAAGCAAACCCGGGGAACUGAAACAUCUAAGUACCCGGAGGAAAGGAAAUCAAUUGAUACUCCCCUAGUAGCGGCGAGCGAACGGGGACCAGCCGAGCCUCAAUUGUGGUUAGAAUGCGUUGGAAUGCGCAACCAAAGUGGGUGAUAGUCCCGUAUAAGAAGCAUGAGAGGACGUAUUAAGUAGGGCGGAACACGUGAAAUUCUGUCUGAAGAUCGGAGGACCACCUUCGAAGGCUAAGUACUCCUUACUGACCGAUAGUGAACCAGUACCGUGAGGGAAAGGUGAAAAGCACCCCGACGAGGGGAGUGAAACAGUACCUGAAACCGAACGCCUACAAUCAGUUGGAGGGGCUUUACGCCCUGACAGCGUACCUUUUGUAUAAUGGGUCAUCGACUUGGUCUCACAAGCAAGCUUAAGCCGUUAGGUGUAGGCGCAGCGAAAGCGAGUCUUAAUAGGGCGUUGAGUUUGUGGGAUCAGACCCGAAACCGAGUGAUCUAGGCAUGGCCAGGUUGAAGGUAAGGUAACACUUACUGGAGGUCCGAACCCACACCUGUUGAAAAAGGUCGGGAUGAGGUGUGCCUAGGGGUGAAAGGCCAAUCAAACUCGGAGAUAGCUGGUUCUCUGCGAAAUCUAUUUAGGUAGAGCGUCAUCCGAAUACCCCGGGGGGUAGAGCACUGGAUGGGUAAUGGGGCCCCACAGGCUUACUGAUCCUAACCAAACUCCGAAUACCCGGGAGUACUAGAUGGCAGACACACAGCGGAUGCUAACGUCCGUUGUGAAGAGGGAAACAACCCUGACCUACAGCUAAGGCCCCUAAUUCAUGGCUAAGUGGGAAAGCAGGUGGGACGACCAAAACAACCAGGAGGUUGGCUUAGAAGCAGCCAUCCUUUAAAGAUAGCGUAACAGCUCACUGGUCUAAAUAAGUUGUCUUGCGGCGAAGAUGUAACGGGGCUCAAGCCAUGAGCCGAAGCUUAGGAUGCAUUUAUUGCAUGGUAGCAGAGCGUAGUGUGACAUAAUUCCAUGUCUCCUUAACCACUUCGGUGGGAUUGGAGACGCGGAGUUUUCUGUGAAGCGGGCCUGUGAGGGAUCCCGUGGAGAGAUCACUAGUGAGAAUGAUGACAUGAGUAGCGACAAAGAGUGUGAGAGACACUCUCGCCGAAAAUCCAAGGGUUCCUGCUUAAAGCUAAUCUGAGCAGGGUAAGCCGACCCCUAAGGCGAGGCCGAAAGGCGUAGUCGAUGGGAACCAGGUUAAUAUUCCUGGGCCAGAUGGAAGUGACGGAUCUCGAGGGUAGUUCAUCCUUAUCGGAUUGAAUGGGCUGCUUAGAGGUCCCUGGAAAUAGCUCCAUCGCUAGAUCGUACCCUAAACCGACACAGGUGGAUAGGUAGAGAAUACCAAGGCGCUUGAGAGAACUAUGUUGAAGGAACUCGGCAAAAUACCUCCGUAAGUUCGCGAGAAGGAGGCCCGGUUUCCAGGCAACUGGAGGCUGGGGGCACAAACCAGGGGGUGGCGACUGUUUACUAAAAACACAGGGCUCUGCGAAGUCGCAAGACGACGUAUAGGGUCUGACGCCUGCCCGGUGCCGGAAGGUUAAGAGGAGAGGUGCAAGCUUUGAAUCGAAGCCCCGGUAAACGGCGGCCGUAACUAUAACGGUCCUAAGGUAGCGAAAUUCCUUGUCGGGUAAGUUCCGACCUGCACGAAUGGCGUAACGACUUCCCCGCUGUCUCCAACAUCGACUCAGCGAAAUUGAAUUACCUGUCAAGAUGCAGGUUUCCCGCGGUUAGACGGAAAGACCCCGUGCACCUUUACUACAACUUCACACUGGCAUUAGGCCGAACAUGUGCAGGAUAGGUGGUGGGCUUUGAAGCGUGAACGCCAGUUUGCGUGGAGCCUCCCUUGAGAUACCACCCUUGUUCUGCUUGAUGUCUAACCGCGGUCCGUUAUCCGGAUCCGGGACCCUGUGUGGUGGGUAGUUUGACUGGGGCGGUCGCCUCCUAAAUCGUAACGGAGGCGCGCGAAGGUUGGCUCAGAGCGGUCGGAAAUCGCUCGUUGAGUGCAAUGGCAGAAGCCAGCCUGACUGCAAGACUGACAAGUCGAGCAGA